GAUUUCCUCAAGAUUGCCAAGCUACAGCAAGGAGAGUGCAAACCAGCUGGACAAAUGUGGAAACCUGAUGCUACUAGAAGUGGAAGAACAGAAGAUGAAGAGGGUGGUGGCUGCUGCGAGUUAUCGUUAUCUCUCUCAUUGCCUCAUCCUUCAUCAUGUACCAGUGAGAUGAGCGAGGCGUUCUCAUCAUCCGUCUCUAGGUACACUUUCAAAGAUUGUUCUGGCUCUU
This 229-nucleotide unclassified non-coding RNA is filed under the name Hevea brasiliensis (rubber tree). Lineage: Eukaryota; Viridiplantae; Streptophyta; Magnoliopsida; Malpighiales; Euphorbiaceae. The record is from RNAcentral.